This is a non-coding RNA of Salmo salar (Atlantic salmon), 1093 nucleotides long. The record is from RefSeq and is a predicted model, not a curated record. Lineage: Eukaryota; Metazoa; Chordata; Actinopteri; Salmoniformes; Salmonidae.
UGUGUGUGUGUGUGAAUUGGCACUACUUACUGUAUCUCCCGAUAGGCCUCUUCUAUGACCGCUCUUCGCAUCCCAUCACCCCUCCUGUCCCCCCAAUAGCCAUAGCACUCAACUACUUUAUCAAUAGUACUCUGCCCUCGGCCUUGGCUGUUAUAUAAAGAGACUGGGACACCGUGUACCUUCCCAUUCUGAUUCAGCCCAAAGUUCACCAGCCCACAGAACCAACAUGCCUGCAGACUUCAAUGGCAAAUGGGAGUUGGAGAGCAGUGAGAACUUUGAGGAUUACAUGAAAGCACUGAACAUUGACUUUGCCACACGCAAAAUCGCAGUGCAGCUGGCCCAGACCAAAGUGAUCAUCCAGGAUGGAGACAAGUUUGAAGCCAAGACGCUGAGCACCUUCAGGAACUAUGAGCAGAUGUUCACUGUGGGGGUGGAGUAUGUGGAGCACACCAAAGGACUGGACAACAGGGUGGUCAAGGUUGGACACGUGGGCUGUGUUCGAAUACUUAUACAACGCGUCCUUCUUGCUCUCUUUUUGGGAUGUACAUGUAAUCACUGCUGAUCGCACGUGAUUAGCUAGGUGCUCUUGUGGUGUGGGAGGGGGACAAACUAGUGUGUACCCAGAAAGGGGAAAAGGACAACCGUGGGUGGAAGCACUGGAUUGAAGGAGACAAACUGUACCUGUUCCAGUCUACUUAAGGGGUGGCUCCAAUGCACCAAUGCGAUAGCAGGUCUACUUAGUUCAUUCUCCAUGCACCAACCAGAAAAAAGGAGCCUAUGAAAUCUCUCACUUUCUCUAUCAUCUCUGGUAGCAUAUCAAUGGUCCUUUCCUUAAUUUGCACUGAUCGACCAGGACUAACCUUUUUCCUCAAAGGGAAUGAGAUAAGGAACUGACGUGUGAGGACAAAGUCUGCAGGCAGGUGUUUAAGAGAAAAGAAUAGAAAGACAAUAUCUGGAUAUCAGUUGCUGGAUUCCUCCACUUUCUCAUACCUUGUGUCAAUAUAGUAAACUCCUGCUGUUACCAUUUAAACUUGUCAUACGGUUUCAAACUCACAAGCAAAUCUGAAUAAAGCAUUGUAUAUUGUUCACUCUU